UUGUUUAGGAGUAUAUGCUUAUUUAAUGAACAAAUUUAAUAUAUUAGUAAAUUCGAAUUUGAAUUGUGAUGGUUUACAUAUGAUAGUGGAAGUAUUGUUAAAAGGAAAAUUAGGUAAAUAUUUUUUAAAAAAAAAAAAUAAAAUAGUUUUAAAUUUUUUGGCACCUCCGACAAAUACAAAUGCCGUAUUCGAUUUAGUCGACUUGGAAAUAUACGAUCCAAAUAAUAAUUUAAAGCUAAUUAAAAAACUGAAAUUGCAGGUAAAUAUCGAUGAAAAUAAUUACAAUUUGUUGCAUUCACAUAAAAAUAAGUUAUAUGCAAAUAAAUAUUUUUCUAUUAUGUACAUACUUUUUUUUAAAAUUGCAUAUUUAAUUAAUGAUUACAAGUUUGACAUGUUUGUUUAUGAUGUUACGGGUGGUAUUCAAAUAAUUGACAGUGAAGUGUUAUUUUAUAAAACUACGGAGGCAUUUUCUAAUGAUAUACCAGCAAUACUGCAAGUGUUAACAGAGUAUAAUUUUGACAUAUACGAACAUACAGUAUCAUCAGUUGAUUUAAUAAACGAAAUAGCUCUUUUAUCGGCAUAUUUUGUAGAGUUGACAUCUUCUUAUAAACAUAUAGGUAAGGCAUAUGUGGAGGAAACAGAAAAUGAUGAAAUUACACGUAUAUACUCAUCACCUUUGGCUGACAUUAGAUAUUUUGUUUAUAUAAACGCGGAUGAUUAUAAUAAGGAUGACAAAAUUAUUGAAAAGUUACAGAAAGAAUUAACGAAUCUAAACACUCUUGUGAUAAUUAAAAAAAAUUUAUGUUGUUCUAAUUUUGUAGACGUUUUGUCAAAAUCGUUAGAAUAUUAUAUCGCAUAUAAAUAUUUAUCUCAAAUAAACAAUACUACUGAAACAGAGCAUAGUACUCUAAACACAUCAGGUUUAGAAACUACAACACCUAUAAAUCAUCAACCAGAUAUAGCCACUGCAAAAAAUAUAAUAGACAUAUGGCUAUAUCAUGCACAUUCGGAUAUACACAUAAAUCCUAUUCAAGAUACAAACAAGUCAAUAUAUUGGGCUAAACAAAUUAUGAAUAACGCACAAUAUUAUUACAAAGAGGAGAUAACUGCUGAGGAUAAACCAGCAUGUAUUAACUUAGAUAUGAUCGAUCAUUAUGAUAAUGUGGUAAUAAGUUUUGCAACAAAAAUGGACACACAUGGUGCUGCUGUUUAUAUUAAACUGGAU
Molecule: long non-coding RNA, 1225 nt
Filed under: Piliocolobus tephrosceles (Ugandan red Colobus)
Lineage: Eukaryota; Metazoa; Chordata; Mammalia; Primates; Cercopithecidae
Description: lncRNA (ENSPTEG00000006001.1)
Source: RNAcentral